Molecule: ribosomal RNA, 301 nt
Filed under: uncultured bacterium
Lineage: Bacteria
Description: partial 16S ribosomal RNA
Rfam family: Bacterial small subunit ribosomal RNA
Source: RNAcentral
CAGUCGCCGCGGUAAUACGAAGGGGGCUAGCGUUGUUCGGAAUUACUGGGCGUAAAGCGCACGUAGGCGGAUCGAUCAGUCAGGGGUGAAAUCCCAGGGCUCAACCCUGGAACUGCCUUUGAUACUGUCGAUCUGGAGUAUGGAAGAGGUGAGUGGAAUUCCGAGUGUAGAGGUGAAAUUCGUAGAUAUUCGGAGGAACACCAGUGGCGAAGGCGGCUCACUGGUCCAUUACUGACGCUGAGGUGCGAAAGCGUGGGGAGCAAACAGGAUUAGAUACCCCCGUAGUCCCUGUCUCUUAUAU